RNAcentral lists this transfer RNA (62 nucleotides) under Helix pomatia (Roman snail). Its description in RNAcentral is "tRNA-Ala". The record is from RNAcentral. Lineage: Eukaryota; Metazoa; Mollusca; Gastropoda; Stylommatophora; Helicidae.
GGGGUAAUACUUUAAGUAAGAAGAUUUGGCUUGCACCUAAACAGUAAUUAUAUUUUACCCUA